UACGUAGGGUGCGAGCGUUGUCCGGAAUUAUUGGGCGUAAAGAGCUCGUAGGCGGUGUGUCGCGUCGGCCGUGAAAACCUGGGGCUCAACUCUGGGCGUGCGGUCGAUACGGGCAUCACUAGAGUUCGGCAGGGGAGACUGGAAUUCCUGGUGUAGCGGUGAAAUGCGCAGAUAUCAGGAGGAACACCGGUGGCGAAGGCGGGUCUCUGGGCCGAUACUGACGCUGAGGAGCGAAAGCGUGGGGAGCGAACAGG
This 254-nucleotide ribosomal RNA is filed under the name uncultured bacterium. RNAcentral's name for it is "partial 16S ribosomal RNA". It matches the Rfam family "Bacterial small subunit ribosomal RNA", at positions 524 to 776 of the family's 1533-position model. The record is from RNAcentral.